RNAcentral lists this ribosomal RNA (756 nucleotides) under uncultured bacterium. RNAcentral describes it as "bacterial SSU rRNA". It matches the Rfam family "Bacterial small subunit ribosomal RNA", at positions 8 to 796 of the family's 1533-position model. The record is from RNAcentral.
AGAGUUUGAUCAUGGCUCAGAAUCAACGCUGGCGGCGUGCCUAACACAUGCAAGUCGAACGAGAAAGUGGAGCAAUCCAUGAGUAAAGUGGCGCACGGGUGAGUAACACGUGACUAACCUACCCUUGAGCGGGGGAUAACCUAGGGAAACCUGGGCUAAUACCGCAUAAUACCUACGGGUCAAAGCAGCUAUGCACUUAAGGAGGGGGUCGCGGCAGAUUAGCUAGUUGGUGAGGUAAUGGCUCACCAAGGCGAUGAUCUGUAUCCGGCCUGAGAGGGCGCACGGACACACUGGAACUGAAACACGGUCCAGACUCCUACGGGAGGCAGCAGUGGGGAAUUUUGCGCAAUGGGGGAAACCCUGACGCAGCAACGCCGCGUGGAGGAUGAAAUCCCUUGGGAUGUAAACUCCUUUCGAUCGGGACGAUUAUGACGGUACCGGAAGAAGAAGCCCCGGCUAACUUCGUGCCAGCAGCCGCGGUAAUACGAGGGGGGCAAGCGUUGUUCGGAAUUAUUGGGCGUAAAGGGUGCGUAGGCGGUUUGAUAAGUCUGAUGUGAAAUCUAUGGGCUCAACCCAUAGUCUGCAUCGGAAACUGUCAGGCUUGAGAAUGGGAGAGGUGAGUGGAAUUUCCGGUGUAGCGGUGAAAUGCGUAGAUAUCGGAAGGAACACCUGUGGCGAAAGCGGCUCACUGGACCAUUUCUGACGCUGAUGCACGAAAGCUAGGGGAGCAAACAGGAUUAGAUACCCCAGUAGUCC